CUCAUUAUCCAUCUCAAUCAAAUCCCACCUCAUUACUAAUUUUAUCAAUCCUAUCACACUUAUCAACGAGGCCUGAGUGUUUCUUUGCUACAAGUUGGGUUUAGGUGGUAAUAAGAUAGCAGGGUGGUUGAUUAUUCAAUAGCGAUGAAUCUUUCCUCACGGUAAUCCUAUGACUUUUAUUUUAUAGGUUUUGAGUUGUUGUGACUUCUUUUUAUUUUUUUGUUUUCUUGGAGGGUGGUAAAUGAAUGAAUAUUGAUAAUAAAAUUAGCUUGAUCAUAGGUCGUUCACGAUAUUUGCAAGAUCAAUAUUCCAUCUUCUAAUCGUCUUUUGGUAUUUGUUAGCACAAAGUUUGAGUAAAUCCGAAUAUUUUAUGAUUUUCAUGAUUUGGGCAUGAUAGGAUUUUCUGGAACUUUUUGGUAUUAAUUGAUGUCCUCUCUUAUGAGUCUUGCUUGCUUCAGAUGCUCAAUAUAAAUCUAAUAUUUUCAAAAUUCGGGUACCACCUUUAUGGGGCCAAAAAAUGAAGUUGCACAGGUAAUUGCAUCUAUUUGUGUUGUCUCAUGCAUUAGAUUCUUAUUGUUAAAAGUUAAGUCCAAUUAGUACCAUUAAUGGGUUAUGG
Molecule: long non-coding RNA, 616 nt
Filed under: Actinidia chinensis (golden kiwifruit)
Lineage: Eukaryota; Viridiplantae; Streptophyta; Magnoliopsida; Ericales; Actinidiaceae
Description: long non-coding RNA (ACHI_LNC001366)
Source: RNAcentral